This is a long non-coding RNA of Neopelma chrysocephalum (saffron-crested tyrant-manakin), 2262 nucleotides long. RefSeq lists it as uncharacterized. The record is from RefSeq and is a predicted model, not a curated record. NCBI's taxonomy places the organism in Eukaryota, Metazoa, Chordata, Aves, Passeriformes, Pipridae. The transcript has 2 exons.
AGCCGGGAGCUACCAGCCUUGCAGUGCAGCCAUCUGAAAUACCCCUCUGGAGUCCUGCAGUGGUGUAGUCGCUGCUCUGAUCAUGACCCUUAAUGUCUAGAGAUAAUUUUGGCCCAGCUGUUAGAAACCACAUUAGACUUUAUUUCAUCUGAUAUGUAGGCAGUUAUUUAAUUUUUACUUUUCUGUGUUAUUAACUGUAUGCAGGAAGCAGCUUUUAGCCCUGCUUCACUGCUUCAAAAUAAAAACCCUCAUGCUUUAAAUUGCAUGGUGUGUACAAGGUGGGUGACAGGUUACAGGAUUGUGCUCCUUCCUACAUGGUGACACUUCCAAAUCUUUAAUAUGACCACCGAAAAUGAUCCCGGGGGACUAUUCAGGAUGGUUGAAUCUGCAGUAAGUUUGCAGUUUGUUGAAAAUACCUGGCAGCAGUGCCUCAUAUUUAAGUGUAUAUGUGUUUGUAAUGGGUUUCUGUGGCUGGCUCUUUAGGAUACGGUUUUCUUCUGCUAACCUGAAAUACAACUUCUGAAACAUAAACCCCCCAGAACAGAAUUUAUUUUCUGGGGAGUAUGAUUGUCACUUUGUUUGAUUUUUGUAUAUUAAACUGGUUUUGUUUCAAUUUUUAAGUGUAGAGGGUUGUGUAUAUAUAUAUAUAUGUGUGUGUAUAUAUAUAUAUAUAACCUUGUCUAGGGAAAAGUCCAUAGCUAUAUGUAUGCAUGGAGUUACUUAGAACAGCAGGGAUAAAGCUGUGGUGGUAUUUGCGUGGCAGAUUCUGAUUGUGCUGAAAACCCCUCUAGAUCAUUAAUUUGAAGAUGCCAUGUAUGAAAUUUGAAGUUAUUGCAGGCUAUCCAGGAGAGCAUAGCUGCUCCCCCCCCCCCGCUGUCUGCGGUUACCAUUCCAGGUUACAGUGGAAGAAAUCUUGGUGGGAGAGCAGAGAGCAUUCUACUGUUCCUGCAUGGCAUAUGAAGAGAGAGGGCUUUCCUUUGCUGAGUGGGUUGUCUGAGUCCCAUCUCAUGUUUUUUAAAUUCUGUGUUUAAAAUCAUCUUCAUGGGAAGAAAUCUCUCUUGUGGCAUAAUAGCUUCAGGCUGGGUUUUGAAUAUUGAUUUUCCACUUACACACCUGAUUUAAAUGUGUCGCAUCAGAUUAAGAAACAGCAUGUUAUUGGCAGGACAGCUUCUUUGCACAUGAAAUGGUUGUAGAGGGUGGCAGAUACUAUAGUUGGGAACUGUGUAAUAGGAAUGAAGUUUUGCCACACUGGUGGAGCUCUGUGGCAUCUGGGGAGGUCUGGAUCCACACUGUGUGGCAUGGAUCUGAUUCCAGAAGGGAAGUGAAUGGGGCUUUCUGGUGGUAGAGGCUCAGGAUGCUGUUCCUGGCUCCUCACAGGCUGCGUCCAUUGCCCUGGAUGGGAAACCUCAAACAUGCAAUUCGGGCUUCAAGGAGGCCAUGCUGGCACAUGGAUUUAAUCCACUAAAAGGCAAUGUUCACAGCCUGGAGGUCCCAAUAUCAAGCAUGGUGGGAAGCUCAUCACAGGUUGUCUUCCAGUUGGAUAUUAAAGCCAGAGGCCACAUUUUGAGAACUGCAUGUGGAGCUGCCGAAGCUGGUGAGGGAGAGCCUCAGUGGAAGCUGAGCUUCUCAGCUCACAAAUGGUGUCAGGGCUUCUGGAGGCACUUAAAACAGUUGCUGGACAAUUUCCUUGGUGGGGAGGGGGGCGAGAGGGGGAAAGUAGGUACAGCAAGCAUUACACAGUUUGAUUCACUUAGAGAUUGCUAGUGGCUGAGUCUCCUUGCAGCCAGAGUGAGUCACAGAAGAAAUGGUGAAGAGUAGCUUUUGGUAUAAGCUGUGGUUUUAGUAAUAUGAUAGAAAUUAUGCCAAUAACAAGUGAUAAAAAGGUGACUGUUUUACUCCAGACAUUAUAAUGUGAGGUGUGGACUUGAGACACUGGACUGGGGGUCUCCAGCCAUUGCUGGAUGACGUGGAUCAUCCAUCACUGUUUGCUCUGCUUUAGCUUUAACGUCUGUUGCACCUGGGCAGUUUUGAAGAGCUUGGUGGUUUGUGAACUCCCAUGCUGUGUAAUCAAAAAAAAGAUACAAAUUUGUAUACAUGUCUCUAUAAUCUGACUGUCUUUGUUUCCAUUUGCAGGUAAAGUUACUAGCUUAAGCCAAAUAAAAUACUUUGUGAUUCACUCCCACAUAGUGAUGUCUGUUGUUCUCUAUUGUGACAUAGUAACUUAAACAAAAAGGAAAAAAAAUAAAACCCCUUUAAUUGUAA